UACGUAGGGGGCAAGCGUUGUCCGGAAUUAUUGGGCGUAAAGAGCGUGUAGGCGGUCCGGUAAGUCAGCUGUGAAAGUCAAGGGCUCAACCCUUGAAUGCCGGUUGAUACUGUCGGGCUAGAGUCCGGAAGAGGAGAGUGGAAUUCCUGGUGUAACGGUGAAAUGCGCAGAUAUCAGGAAGAACACCAAUGGCGAAGGCAGCUCUCUGGGACGGUACUGACGCUGAGACGCGAAAGCGUGGGGAGCGAACAGG
Molecule: ribosomal RNA, 253 nt
Filed under: uncultured bacterium
Lineage: Bacteria
Description: partial 16S ribosomal RNA
Rfam family: Bacterial small subunit ribosomal RNA
Source: RNAcentral